AAGACUAUACUUUCAGGGAUCGUUUCUAUAGUUCAUUACUAGAGAAGUUUCUCUGACUGUGUAGAGUACCAGAAACCACGAGAAGGAGAUGUAGCAUUCUCUCCUGCUCAAGAGGCUGGCUCUUGGUGUUGCUUCGCUGCAACCGCCUUUUGCCAUGGAUGAUCGUUCUUCUCUCUUUCCGGAGAGUAAAGGGAGAGGAUGAAGUCUGAGUGGGG
Nannospalax galili (Upper Galilee mountains blind mole rat) is the source of this 215-nucleotide small nucleolar RNA. NCBI's taxonomy places the organism in Eukaryota, Metazoa, Chordata, Mammalia, Rodentia, Spalacidae. The record is from Ensembl.